GUGCCAGCCGCCGCGGUAAUACGGAGGGGGCUAGCGUUGUUCGGAAUUACUGGGCGUAAAGGGUGCGUAGGCGGCUGUCCAAGUCGGGUGUGAAAGCCCCGGGCUCAACCCGGGAUGUGCAUCCGAGACUGAAUGGCUUGAGUUCGGGAGAGGUGAGUGGAAUUCCCAGUGUAGAGGUGAAAUUCGUAGAUAUUGGGAAGAACACCGGUGGCGAAGGCGGCUCACUGGACCGACACUGACGCUGAGGCACGAAAGCGUGGGGAGCAAACAGGAUUAGAAACCCUGGUAGUCC
This 292-nucleotide ribosomal RNA is filed under the name uncultured bacterium. RNAcentral's name for it is "partial 16S ribosomal RNA". It matches the Rfam family "Bacterial small subunit ribosomal RNA", at positions 505 to 796 of the family's 1533-position model. The record is from RNAcentral.